CUGCGUAUGUGCUGAUAACCAUUUAAACUGGGUGAUGGGUACAUGAAACUUCAUUACACUAUUCUCUCUACUUUCAUGUUUGAAAAUCUUCAUAGUAAUGUCUUUAAACAUCCUUUUAAAUCUGCCAGGCUAUAGGUAGAUUUAAAGGAUAAGGCUUCCAUGAGAUUAGAGGAUUGUUUGAAAGGAAACACUGCAGUCAAUGAACUGAAAGGAAGCCAUAAAAUCUAGAUUUGGGAGGUAGUAAUGACAUAGUAGAAGGGUAUGACUUAUGAAUGAGUAGACAUGGAGGACAGGAGGUCUUUUGGGGGCUGAAGAAAUCAAGGGAUGGGAUGGGUCAUUCAUGUGGCAUUAAGGAUCCAAGAAUGACCACAGAAGGAACA
Molecule: long non-coding RNA, 380 nt
Filed under: Homo sapiens (human)
Lineage: Eukaryota; Metazoa; Chordata; Mammalia; Primates; Hominidae
Description: non-protein coding lnc-RMDN2-9:2
Source: RNAcentral